Xiphophorus hellerii (green swordtail) is the source of this 7316-nucleotide long non-coding RNA. RefSeq lists it as uncharacterized. The transcript has 3 exons. Lineage: Eukaryota; Metazoa; Chordata; Actinopteri; Cyprinodontiformes; Poeciliidae. The record is from RefSeq and is a predicted model, not a curated record.
UUUCUCUAAUAUGAAUAAACUUUAAAUUCUAAUUAAUGUUUAUCACUGGAAUAUUUUAAAAAUCCAAAAUAAAUAUAAAUAAAAUGAAAAAUUGUCCUUCAGAAAAAGGGCCAGUUGAGACUAAUUACCUUAUUCAUCCAGUUUUUAGUAGAAAAAAAAGAAAAUAUAAAAAUGAUAAAUAGUACAAAUGGAAAUUAUUGAGUUUGUUUUAAUUUUUCAUGCAAUAAAUUGAGUUAUUGCAAGAGGCCCAGUCUUUUUCGCAAUAAGAAGAUUUUAUGGCUCUUACUUCAUUUUAUUGAACAGUAAUAAAGACAUUUAUAACCCCAGUUACUAAUAAAUAAAUUAAAAGCAAAAAUCUUUUAAUACAUUUACAUUUUAAGAUUUCACCCUAAAAUUGUUUUUAAAUCUGUAUCCACCGCCUGAACCAGCAAACCAAAUUCAGGUUAUUUCUGAAUUGUGAUAAAGGGCCCCUGAAAAUCAUUUCAAGGGCUGUGAAUGGCCCCCGGGCCGCACUUUGGACACCCCUGCCUUACUGCCUCACUCGAUGUAGCUCCACAGAUUCAGCCGGUAGCAGAGGAGAGCUGCGCCACGCAUGUCAGCUCUCUGUACAGCACGUCCUCUCGAUGAUGUCAAUGUUUUAUAAUCUUGCGCUUUUAAUAGAACCGUGCUGAGAGUCGUGUGUCUUGUAUAUUACAGUCUUUUUUCCAGCUGUUAGGCAGACGUAUUAAAGAGGAUUGCCACUCAAAUCUAAUAAAAAUAUUGGGGGUUUUUUUUUCUUGUGGUUAAAAUAAAAUUUGCCCCCAGCUGUCUUGCAGGGGCGUGUCUAGAUUUUUUUUUUCUUGGGGGGGCAGGCAGGAGCACAAACUGUAAAAUUGCAAUUUCAUGAACAUUGGGGCAAACCUUGAAAAUUCAAACCAUUUAUUUACCCAAACAAAACACAUAGAUCUGCUUAGCAUAGAUUUGUUUGUUACAGUGGCUAACCUCAUGAUUAGCCUGUUUCAGCUUAGCAUAGCUUAACUGUAUAAAACUCUGUUUUUAGCGCCGUUAAGCUAACUCUGUUCAACCAAUCAACUUAAGUUGAUAAGUUGAUUUAAAGUCAAAAUUACUGACUACAAAUUGCAAAUAACUAUUUCAUUUCCCUUUUUGCUCCUUUAUGGAGAGAUGUUUUGUGUAGUUGUCUGAAGCUGAUUUUUCACAUUAUUAUUAUUAUUAAUAAUAAACAUCAUAUAAAUCAAACUGCCAAAGGGACUAGAAAUGAAAAUUAGACACUUUUCUAUAAUCUCUUGUUAAUUAACGGGAAUGAUCCAUUUUUGCAAAAUAACAUUUUUAAAAAAUAUCAAUUGCAGCAAGUGCAUUUGUCAUCUGCUGACAAUUAUUUUAGUAAUUGAUUAUUGUAUGGAUUAUUUUGACCAAUAGAUAAAAAAUUGGCACAUUUGGCAAAUUUUUCAUUUAACCACAUAAGCCUCUUUUACACAAUAUUUGAAGUAAUUAUGUUACUUUUUUAAAUAAAGCAAUAAUGUUAUUGCCUAAAAUGCAAUAACAUAAAUUUCUUUCAUUUGUAGUUAAGCUAAAGCUAAAGAAAUUUUGAUUAUCUUCUGGAUUAAUAAAUGGAUAGCAAAAGUUGCUUUAAUUUUUAAAGCAUUUUAAUUUUUACAGUUGAAGGUAAAACUGCAACUUGAGGAUUUACAAAAGAGGUUUUUUCAUCUUAAAUGCUAAAUGUUUAUAAACUUUGUAUAGUUUUGGUUCAAUCACUGUUCUGUGUUGUUCUUUCAGCAAAUGGCGUUUUUUAUGCUCCAGCUAACAAUUAAACGUUUACCAAAUUAGUUGAUGUUUACUUCAAUAAUAAUGAAUUAUGAUUGAUUUGGUUAAUAUGAUUCACCCCUUCUACUGACAUGGAGUCUAUGUAGAAUAUGAGGGUAGCCGGUCCCCCCCCAGCCACCCUGUGGCUACGCCCCUGCUCGUUUAUCACCUGAAACUGAGUGGCGCUCCCCUUUAAGUUUAGCAGCAACUUAUCGCCUCAGAGGACUUUGUAUCCACAUUAUUGUGGAAAGAUUUUAGGCCUAUGUUGAAAGUUUAGCCAAAUAGAAAGUGAAAGCCUUAAAAGGCCUAAAUCAGGCAGCCCUCCCGGCGCAUUAAAGGUAAAAAUCCUCUGAUGCUAAUCAGCCCAGGGAGCAUGUGUUGCUAAGGCAUUGUUGACAAGCCCUUUACUGUAAGUUGAUUCUAUGAUGUCAUCAGUGUGUUGUCAUUGUGUAAAAAAAGGAAAAAGGUUCCUAAAUAAAACGUUUUCUGACCCCAUAAAAGCAUCUUUGAGCAGGAGAGACUGCCAACAUGCAUUCAGCCAUCUUUGUUUAUGAAAUCCUGCACUUACAAGAGUUAGCGAUAUUACCAUAAAGAGUUGAAGAAAUCUGAUGUGUAAAUAUUAAAGAAUGCUGCAUUAUUUCAUCAUUAUGGUCACAGUUAACUAUGUACCACUACAGAUUUCUUGAAUAACACUAAGGCGAAGCAUUUUAAGAGGUGGACAAAGUUCUGCGCUAAGAUUUAGCAGAAGCUAACUGGAAUUACUAACUUUAAUUCAUUAUGUCCUUGAAAGACUACAUCUUAAAUUUGACAUCAUUUUCAUGUUCCAUAACGCCCUCAGACAUUGUAUUCAUAUGUUUAUAUCUUGUUCACUACUGUCUGUUUUAUUAUGUUCCUAUUCUUGUCUUAAAUAAAGUUAUUGAGGCGAAAUAGAGAACGUGAGGACAGGCACGCAACGGAACUGCUACGUAAGCAGUCUCCAGCCACUUCAAAAUAAGAGCAUGAACACAGAGGUGUCCAAAGUACUCACAUUCUCUACUUAAGUAAAGGUACAGAUAUUUGUAUGAAAAAAUAUUAUAUUAAAAGUACAGGUUGAACUGUUUUACUCAAAAGUUUAAAAAAAAAAGUACAAAUCUUGAAAUGUAUUCAAGUACAAAAAGUAAAAUAACAUUUUAAAUGAUUUUCAUCUUCAAGAAUACAAAAUGGCUUUUGAUAAAUGUAAAAGACUUAAAACGUUCUAGUCAUACAAAAUACUUUCUUUUUUUUUUUUGCUGAUUCUGUGUUGGUAAAUAUUUGACACACAAAUACCUGAAAAAUCUACAUCCAUAUUGGAGGACACAGAUUGGCUGUAAAUGUCCCGGGAUGCAGAGCUGCUGGACUGAAUAAUGGACCUGACUGCUGGUUUCACUGAAGGCUGAGGGUCUCUGUUCCUCACAGCGCUGGAUCCUGACCAGGAAGUAAAGUUCAGUUAGCUCAGAAACAUCACAACGACAAGAACGUCACGUUUUGCAUUGACUUAAAUCCAAGCUAAACUUUUAAUUAAGUUUUUUUUACUUAUAUUUGCAUAAAUGAAUCAAAAAUAAAGAAAAAUGUGUUUCAGAAAGCUUUAUUGUACAUUUUUAAAUAAGCAUGAAUAAAAUUUUAUUACUUAAGGAUGGAUCAAAAGAGAUGAAGAGUCAAGAGUUUUAAUAAACUGACACAUUUAAAUAAUUAUUUGGUAUUUAUUGUCAUUUUGCACUCUUCAUUCUCCAUACAUCAGGACUGGAGCAACAGUUCAGCAUUAAGCUUUGAAAAUGUAAAUUUUCCAGAAACAAGCCAGUUUAUCCCUAAUGUAGUAGGGACUAUAUCUAUCUAUCUAUCUAUCUAUCUAUCUAUCUAUCUAUUUGCACUAUUUCUCCAAUUUAUUCUAAAAGCUGUAUUAGAGAUGAACUGGUUUGUUCUUAGAAAAAUGUUCAUUUUCAAAACUUAAAUAUGUUCUUCAGUCCUACAUUAUAAAAUAUAAAGAAACACACAAAAUUUAACUGUUUCUCUAAAUUAUUCUAAAACUAUAUUAGGGAUAAAUUAUGGAUAAAACAUAUAGUGCUAUUAAGAUUAGUUUCAGUAGAGGUUGAGACUUGGACUGUUUUUUGCAGUUGCGCAGGUUUUACGGGUUCUGUCAAAUCUGGCAACCUUGCCGAAUGGCGCCAUGUUUUGUUUUUUUAUGAGUGUGAGGCGCAUGCGCCAUGCCGGAUAGAAAUGUGGCGCAGUUUCGACGUAAGCGUUUGAAAUAGGACGCGGCUCGCGCUGAGAUAUGAAACCAGCUUUAUAAUAUUCAUCCAUUCUGGGUUUAAAAACGGGUUUUUCUGACCUGAUAGGACGAAAAGCCGAGUCCGGCUGGACGGCCAGCCUGAAUGACUCAAAACUGUUUUUUCGGGGCCUACUAAUUAGGCUCCUUAACUCACCUGCUGAGGUGAAGCUAAACUGGGCGACCAGGCCGCUGGAGCGCCAUAUUGAAAUCGCUGCAUUUGUUAUUCGGUAAGUUAGUUUUUUGGAAACCUUAUUCGAAGUUGUUUGUUUUGUCUCUGAUGAAAUUAUUGAAGCCAUUUUUUGUUUUUAGCAGAGCAGCAAACGAGGAGCGACCGGACCAUGGCCGGCCGGCGUCCCUGAAAUAUCAAGAACGACCUCGCUGCAUCAAACGUUUUUCUGCCUGCAGUCGUUCACCUGAGCCUCGUCUGAAAGGCCUGCUGGGAAAUCACGCCGACCUUGUGGGAGUAACGCUCGCCGAGGGCUGCGGAGAAACUCAGGAAAACUCGUUUCUGUCAUCAGGAGGACACCGAUGGAAAGUACAAAGACACAGAGAUCAGAGAGGCCCCAUACCACUUUUGUGCUGACCUUAAAAAGAGAGGCGCACUGUGCAAACAUCUGGUCCAUCAGCUGGAUCCUAUGCAUCAGCGGGCACAGGGACACACUGGGACAGGUUGGCGGCUGCCUUUGACAGCAACAGUUAAUUUCCAACAUAAUCAAUUUAUGUGCAGCUCCAUAAUAACCAUCUGUGUUCAGCAUGAGGAGGACAGUCCUGAGGAAGAAAACGGCGCUGGUUGAUCCUCUUCUCCAUCAGCAACGCCAGGAGCAAAAAAGAGGAGAAGAAGGUGGAGGAGGCAGGAAACUAAGAGAAGAGGAGUAAAAACGCAAGUAAAUCUCGAAAGAAAGAGUUACUGUUUUCAGGCUGGUUGCUGAUUAUUAAUUUUGUAUUUGACAAAAGCAUGAAAGAAAAAGAUGAAUACAAGGCACACAACAAGAAUGAGCAUUUCUGAGCUUUCCGUUACAUUUGGAAAGCUGAACUCAGGAAUCAAUGAAUAAUAAAAUAUUUAGCUCCAUUAGCACUAAAUGUACUUUUCCUGAUAAAUUGUAAAGCACCAAUUUACUUUACUGUUUAGUAAACUUUUGUGUCUCUGACACAUGGUUGAAUUUAGUGCUUUAGCAUUAGCUUAAUACUCUGUUGGAAUAGGGCGUUAUUUGUUCACAUUAGCAAUGCUAGCUGCUGUGUUAGCACAGUUAGACCAGCAUUGUUUCUAAUCAAUAAAACAUACUGUGUCCAAUUUACAAAUAUAUUCCAGUCAUCAUCCAUAUUUGCAUCGGUGGACACUGCUAACUAGAAGUUAGAGGACUAAUCGUAAACAUUAGUUCUGCUAAUGCUAGCGCGCUAUAGUAACAUAUUAUUCAGCAGAAGCUAAUGAUAAAGCGCUAAAUUCAACCAUCUGUCAAAGACUCAAAAGUUUACAAAACAAAAAGUAAAUAAGUGCUUUAGGGUUUAUCAGGAAAAGUUAACUUAAUUGUGACAAACAUUUUCAAAGUUAGCAAAAUGCUUAAGCAUUAAGUGAAAAAUUAGCUCCUGUGUUAGCGCAUUAGCGGGUUAGCAGAAGUGUUUUAAAGAGUAGCUUGGCUACAGUAUAUUUUAUUGUCACAAAAUGCUUUUAAAAGUAAAUAACUGCUUUGAAAACAGUGGAAAUGUUCCAGUAUUUGUAGGUGUAAUGGCGAGUAAUACAUUUUCCGUUUAAUUUUCUGGGUCAAAGGGGUUAAACGCACCAGAUGCAAACACUUCAGAUAAAGUUGGUCGUCUCCACAUUUCCCUGUUUUUCAUUUGGUUUUCCUGCAAGGUUAGCGCCGCUGGCACUGGAACGCGGCUGUAUCCUCAUCCACCUCCGAUGUCAGGAUUUUCUGGGGAGGUGUCACUCAGGCGGUUCCUGAAACACCUUGGUGAGCCAAUUACACCGCGGCUGUCAGAGCCAAUAGCAAGCGGCGCCUCACACUCCGACACCCACAGCUUGGCUGGAGUGAAACAAAACAUGAAAACGGAAUCCGGCUCUGGCGACCUUUCACCCCGCAACAUGCAAUUUUCAUAAGAGCAAUUAGCAUAAUGUCCCGGCUCCUGCAGAUCGCCUCUGACUUGUUUUGACCUUAAAGAUUUUUGCAUUUUGAGAUUAAUUUAGUAAACAGAAGUGAUUUAAUGGCUUUGUAAGUUGGAUUAAUAACAUAUGUUUAAUGAUUCUGGUAUGAUUUAUUUCAUUUUGAGCAAAAAUUUAGAAAUUUAGAGGCUCAAAAGUUAGCAAUAGCAUAGCAUCUGUUUAUUUGUAUUUCAUAUUUUUCCAAACAUGUAUAAAUCAGAUAAAAAGUUUUCUUUCUUAGACUUUUGUGUAAAGUAACAACAAAGAUAUUUUUAAAUUACAAGAAUGAAUUCAUAAUAUUAGAACAAUAAAGAUGCAAUAUUACCAGAAAAAAGUCAUUUAAAAAAAGUUAUUUUAAUGAGAAGAGCUUCGAUAGAGCGGUUCUUUCUUUCAAUAAUUUGACUCUAUUUCCUUAUUUUUGAAAAACUGAUAAAGUGUAACUACAAGAUGCUGAAUAUUCCUCAUUUUAAAAGUUCCUAAUAAAAUUACUACUUCAUUCACCUAAUAAUAAGACGUUAUUAUAACAUCAUUAUUUUCGUAUUUUGUCGACCUUAUUGUUGCACUACUGUGUUUUUUUCAAGUGUUUGACUAUUUUCUGUACAACCUAAUUCCUGUAAUAUUUUUACUUUAUUCACAUAUUUUGACUUUUUUCAUAAUGUAUUGACUUUAUUCUCGACAUUGCAUUUUAUUUCUUACCCCAGCCCUAAUAAGAGGUAAUAAUAGAUAGGUUUAAAAAUUCUCUGUAACCAACUUGACUUCCUCCGUUACGCUUUAUGCCUCCUUUUGUUGUUGCUUUAUGUCCAGCAGCUGCAUUUCCAAUACAAAUGAGAGCAAAAAUUUGUCAAUUUUCAGCUAAUUUAAAAAAAAAUCACAAUUUUACAAUUGCUUUGUUUUUAUUAAACAAAAAACAUGAUUCAAAUCAGACAUUGUUCACAUUAUAAGUCCUUAAAACCCUGCCACCCUCCUACCACUUCCUGUUGUCUUCUUCAUGGAUGAUAAGAAAUUGGCUUACUUUGCAAAAUAAACUAAUUUCAAUGUCUUUUUCUUUUUUUUCAAAAUGUAUUUCCAAAACGUUAAACUGUCAUUGAACAAGUU